AUACGGAGGGUGCGAGCGUUAUUCGGAAUCACUGGGCGUAAGGGACGCGUAGGCGGGUUGGCAAGUCAGAUGUGAAAUCCUACAGCUUAACUGUAGAACUGCAUUUGAAACUGCUAACCUAGAGUAUGGGAGGGGGAGAUGGAAUUAGUGGUGUAGGGGUAAAAUCCGUAGAUAUCACUAGGAAUACCGAAAGCGAAGGCGAUCUCCUGGAACAUAACUGACGCUAAGGCGUGAAAGCGUGGGGAGCAAACAGGAUUAGAAACCCGAGUAGUCC
Molecule: ribosomal RNA, 274 nt
Filed under: uncultured bacterium
Lineage: Bacteria
Description: partial 16S ribosomal RNA
Rfam family: Bacterial small subunit ribosomal RNA
Source: RNAcentral